RNAcentral lists this ribosomal RNA (725 nucleotides) under uncultured archaeon. RNAcentral's name for it is "bacterial SSU rRNA". It matches the Rfam family "Archaeal small subunit ribosomal RNA", at positions 66 to 792 of the family's 1478-position model. The record is from RNAcentral.
UCUUCGUGAACAUAGCAGACUGCUCAGUAACACGUGGAUAACCUGCCCUUAGGACUGGCAUAACCCCGGGAAACUGGGGAUAAUUCCGGAUAGAUCAUAAAUGCUGGAAUGCUUUAUGAUUGAAAGGUUUCGACCGCCUUAGGAUGGAUCUGCGGCCUAUCAGGUUGUAGUGGGUGUAAUGUACCUACUAGCCUACGACGGGUACGGGUUGUGGAAGCAAGAGCCCGGAGAUGGAUUCUGAGACAUGAAUCCAGGCCCUACGGGGCGCAGCAGGCGCGAAAACUUUACAAUGCGGGAAACCGUGAUAAGGGAACACUGAGUGCUAGCAUUUAUGUUAGCUGUCCACAUGUGUAAAUAGCAUGUGAUAGCAAGGGCUGGGCAAGACCGGUGCCAGCCGCCGCGGUAACACCGGCAGCCCGAGUGGUGAUCACUAUUAUUGGGUCUAAAGGGUCCGUAGCCGGUUUAAUCAGUCUUCUGGGAAAUCUAAUCGCUUAACUAUUAGGCUUCCAGGGGAUACUGUUAGACUUGGGACCGGGAGAGGUAAGAGGUACUGCAGGGGUAGGAGUGAAAUCUUGUAAUCCCUGUGAGACCACCAGUGGCGAAGGCGUCUUACCAGAACGGGUCCGACGGUGAGGGACGAAAGCUGGGGGCACGAACCGGAUUAGAUACCCGGGUAGUCCCAGCUGUAAACGAUGCUCGUUAGGUGUCCGGAACGGUGCGACUGC